This 553-nucleotide ribosomal RNA is filed under the name Salmonella enterica subsp. enterica serovar Anatum. RNAcentral's name for it is "partial 23S ribosomal RNA". It matches the Rfam family "Bacterial large subunit ribosomal RNA", at positions 1112 to 1665 of the family's 2925-position model. The record is from RNAcentral. Lineage: Bacteria; Pseudomonadati; Pseudomonadota; Gammaproteobacteria; Enterobacterales; Enterobacteriaceae.
GCAGCCAUCAUUUAAAGAAAGCGUAAUAGCUCACUGGUCGAGUCGGCCUGCGCGGAAGAUGUAACGGGGCUAAACCAUGCACCGAAGCUGCGGCAGCGACACUGUGUGUUGUUGGGUAGGGGAGCGUUCUGUAAGCCUGUGAAGGUGGCCUGUGAGGGUUGCUGGAGGUAUCAGAAGUGCGAAUGCUGACAUAAGUAACGAUAAAGCGGGUGAAAAGCCCGCUCGCCGGAAGACCAAGGGUUCCUGUCCAACGUUAAUCGGGGCAGGGUGAGUCGACCCCUAAGGCGAGGCCGAAAGGCGUAGUCGAUGGGAAACGGGUUAAUAUUCCCGUACUUGGUGUUACUGCGAAGGGGGGACGGAGAAGGCUAUGUUGGCCGGGCGACGGUUGUCCCGGUUUAAGCGUGUAGGCUGGUUUUCCAGGCAAAUCCGGUUCACUUUAAAACUGAGGCGUGACGACGAGGCACUACGGUGCUGAAGCAACAAAUGCCCUGCUUCCAGGAAAAGCCUCUAAGCAUCAGGUAACAUCAAAUCGUACCCCAAACCGACACAGGUG